UUACGGCCAUAUCACGUUGAAACAACGGUUCCUGUACGAUCACUGAAUUUAAGCAACAUCGAGCCUAGUCUGUACUUACAAGGGUGACCACUUGGGAAUACCAGCCGCUGUAA
Molecule: non-coding RNA, 113 nt
Organism: Acanthosepion pharaonis
Lineage: Eukaryota; Metazoa; Mollusca; Cephalopoda; Sepiida; Sepiidae
Source: the annotation of a GenBank genome assembly